GAGACACGGCCCAGACUCCUACGGGAGGCAGCAGUGGGGAAUCUUAGACAAUGGGCGCAAGCCUGAUCUAGCCAUGCCGCGUGAGUGAUGAAGGCCUUAGGGUCGUAAAGCUCUUUCGCCUGUGAUGAUAAUGACAGUAGCAGGUAAAGAAACCCCGGCUAACUCCGUGCCAGCAGCCGCGGUAAUACGGAGGGGGUUAGCGUUGUUCGGAAUUACUGGGCGUAAAGCGCACGUAGGCGGAUUGGAAAGUUGGGGGUGAAAUCCCGGGGCUCAACCCCGGAACUGCCUCCAAAACUACUAGUCUAGAGUUCGAGAGAGGUGAGUGGAAUUCCAAGUGUAGAGGUGAAAUUCGUAGAUAUUUGGAGGAACACCAGUGGCGAAGGCGGCUCACUGGCUCGAUACUGACGCUGAGGUGCGAAAGUGUGGGGAGCAAACAGGAUUAGAUACCCUGGUAGUCCACACCGUAAACGAUGAAUGCCAGUCGUCGGGCAGUAUACUGUUCGGUGACACACCUAACGGAUUAAGCAUUCCGCCUGGGGAGUACGGUCGCAAGAUUAAAACUCAAAGGAAUUGACGGGGGCCCGCACAAGCGGUGGAGCAUGUGGUUUAAUUCGAA
RNAcentral lists this ribosomal RNA (616 nucleotides) under uncultured marine bacterium. RNAcentral's name for it is "bacterial SSU rRNA". It matches the Rfam family "Bacterial small subunit ribosomal RNA", at positions 321 to 955 of the family's 1533-position model. The record is from RNAcentral.